RNAcentral lists this ribosomal RNA (718 nucleotides) under Cellulophaga sp. UST050418-418. Its description in RNAcentral is "bacterial SSU rRNA". It matches the Rfam family "Bacterial small subunit ribosomal RNA", at positions 32 to 755 of the family's 1533-position model. The record is from RNAcentral. Lineage: Bacteria; Pseudomonadati; Bacteroidota; Flavobacteriia; Flavobacteriales; Flavobacteriaceae.
GNAGCUACGGCNGCUACACACCAGUCUANAGGGUACAGGGAGCUUGCUCCGCUGACGACCGGCGCACGGGUGCGCAACGCGUAUGCAAUCUACCUCUUACUAAGGGAUAGCCCAGAGAAAUUUGGAUUAAUAUCUUAUGUGAUAUUAGACUGGCAUCGGUUUAAUAUUAAAGGUUACGGUAAGAGAUGAGCAUGCGUCUCAUUAGUUAGUUGGUAAGGUAACGGCUUACCAAGACUUCGAUGAGUAGGGGUCCUGAGAGGGAGAUCCCCCACACUGGUACUGAGACACGGACCAGACUCCUACGGGAGGCAGCAGUGAGGAAUAUUGGACAAUGGACGGAAGUCUGAUCCAGCCAUGCCGCGUGUAGGAAGACUGCCCUAUGGGUUGUAAACUACUUUUAUACAGGAAGAAUAAGAUCUACGUGUAGAUUGAUGACGGUACUGUAAGAAUAACGGACCGGCUAACUCCGUGCCAGCAGCCGCGGUAAUACGGAGGGUCCGAGCGUUAUCCGGAAUUAUUGGGUUUAAAGGGUCCGUAGGCGGGCUGUUAAGUCAGAGGUGAAAUGCUGCGGCUCAACCGUAUGCACUGCCUUUGAUACUGGCGGUCUUGAGUUAUAGUGAAAGUGGCUAGAAUAAGUAGUGUAGCGGUGAAAUGCUAGAUUUUACUUAGAAUACCGAUUGCGAAGGCGGUCCACUACUNUUCCUGACGCCUAUGGACC